UACGGGGGGGGCAAGCGUUGUUCGGAAUUACUGGGCGUAAAGGGCUCGUAGGCGGCCAACUAAGUCAGACGUGAAAUCCCUCGGCUUAACCGGGGAACUGCGUCUGAUACUGGAUGGCUUGAGUUUGGGAGAGGGAUGCGGAAUUCCAGGUGUAGCGGUGAAAUGCGUAGAUAUCUGGAGGAACACCGGUGGCGAAGGCGGCAUCCUGGACCGACACUGACGCUGAGGUGCGAAAGCGUGGGGAGCAAACAGG
Molecule: ribosomal RNA, 253 nt
Filed under: uncultured bacterium
Lineage: Bacteria
Description: partial 16S ribosomal RNA
Rfam family: Bacterial small subunit ribosomal RNA
Source: RNAcentral